RNAcentral lists this long non-coding RNA (205 nucleotides) under Lathyrus oleraceus (garden pea). RNAcentral's name for it is "Pisum sativum (pea) long non-coding RNA (PSAT_LNC025294)". Lineage: Eukaryota; Viridiplantae; Streptophyta; Magnoliopsida; Fabales; Fabaceae. The record is from RNAcentral.
GCUCACAUUCUAAAAAACUAACCUUGCUUGGCAAUUCUAAUUUUCUGUCAAGAACCCCUAAGAACUGAACCUGCUUUGCUUAACUCACAAAUCCAAAGACUGCACUCAUUUAGUUUUGGCCAUUUCCUAAAAAUCCUGUCAAACUCCAAGCCUUGCAUUGCAUUUUCCACGUCUCUCCAUCAUGUUAAACCAACAGCAGCCAACC